UGCGGAAGGAUCAUUAAAA
This 19-nucleotide ribosomal RNA is filed under the name Trichophaea cf. hybrida KH.04.39. Its description in RNAcentral is "partial 18S ribosomal RNA". The record is from RNAcentral. Lineage: Eukaryota; Fungi; Ascomycota; Pezizomycetes; Pezizales; Pyronemataceae.